GUGGCUCAAUGGAUAGAGCACUGGACCUGGAAUCAGGGAGAGCCAGUUCAAAUCUGGCC
This 59-nucleotide transfer RNA is filed under the name Monodelphis domestica (gray short-tailed opossum). It matches the Rfam family "tRNA", at positions 7 to 64 of the family's 71-position model. From Rfam's summary of the family: Transfer RNA (tRNA) molecules are approximately 80 nucleotides in length. The record is from Rfam by way of RNAcentral. Lineage: Eukaryota; Metazoa; Chordata; Mammalia; Didelphimorphia; Didelphidae.